GUCAGUGUGGCCGAGUGGUUAAGGCGAUUGACUCGAAUUUCUCUCACAUUCGGUAUCAAUUCCAUUCGUGGGCACAGGUUCGAAUCCUGUCGCUGACG
Molecule: non-coding RNA, 98 nt
Organism: Aspergillus caelatus
Lineage: Eukaryota; Fungi; Ascomycota; Eurotiomycetes; Eurotiales; Aspergillaceae
Source: the annotation of a RefSeq genome assembly